AUUGAACGCUGGCGGCAUGCCUUACACAUGCAAGUCGAACGGCAGCGCGGGAGCAAUCCUGGCGGCGAGUGGCGAACGGGUGAGUAAUACAUCGGAACGUGCCCAAUCGUGGGGGAUAACGCAGCGAAAGCUGUGCUAAUACCGCAUACGAUCUACGGAUGAAAGCAGGGGAUCGCAAGACCUUGCGCGAAUGGAGCGGCCGAUGGCAGAUUAGGUAGUUGGUGAGGUAAAGGCUCACCAAGCCUUCGAUCUGUAGCUGGUCUGAGAGGACGACCAGCCACACUGGGACUGAGACACGGCCCAGACUCCUACGGGAGGCAGCAGUGGGGAAUUUUGAACAAUGGGCGAAAGCCUGAUCCAGCCAUGCCGCGUGCAGGAUGAAGGCCUUCGGGUUGUAAACUGCUUUUGUACGGAACGAAACGGUCUUUUCUAAUAAAGAAGGCUAAUGACGGUACCGUAAGAAUAAGCACCGGCUAACUACGUG
This 484-nucleotide ribosomal RNA is filed under the name uncultured bacterium. Its description in RNAcentral is "partial 16S ribosomal RNA". It matches the Rfam family "Bacterial small subunit ribosomal RNA", at positions 30 to 507 of the family's 1533-position model. The record is from RNAcentral.